This 423-nucleotide long non-coding RNA is filed under the name Mytilus galloprovincialis (Mediterranean mussel). Lineage: Eukaryota; Metazoa; Mollusca; Bivalvia; Mytilida; Mytilidae. The record is from RNAcentral.
CUGGCCUUUGUUAGUCUUGUAUCAUUUUAACUUUUAGUUUCUUGUGUACAAUUUGGAGUUUAGUAUUGUGUUCAUUAUCACUGAACCAGUAUAUAUUUGUUUAGGGGCCAGCUGAAGGACGUCUCCAGGUACGAGAAUUUCUCGUUGCAUUGAAGACCUGUUGGUGACCUUCUGCUGUUGUCUGCUCUAUGGUCGGGUUGUUGUCUCUUUGGCACAUUCCCCAUUUCCAUUCUCAAUUUUUAAAAAAGUUUAAUAUAAUUUGUUUGAGCAUGUGAGAUAAUUAUUGGAUUGGGAAUUGCACAACUUCGUUUGCUUUUUACAUUUUAAACAAGCAAAAAUUUGAAUCUGAAACAGUUUUGAAUUAUAGAGUCUGAUUCUUCUGAAGUUUUAGCUAAACAUCAACUUAAAGUACAUGAACAGAUG